AAAACAAAGAGGAACGGAAAAGCUUGCAAGUCGAACGGUAACAGGAAGCAGCUUGCUGCUUUGCUGACGAGUGGCGGACGGGUGAGUAAUGUCUGGGAAACUGCCUGAUGGAGGGGGAUAACUACUGGAAACGGUGGCUAAUACCCCAUAACGUCGCAAGACCAAAGAGGGGGACCUUCGGGCCUCUUGCCAUCAGAUGUGCCCAGAUGGGAUUAGCUUGUUGGUGAGGUAACGGCUCACCAAGGCGACGAUCCCUAGCUGGUCUGAGAGGAUGACCAGCCACACUGGAACUGAGACACGGUCCAGACUCCUACGGGAGGCAGCAGUGGGGAAUAUUGCACAAUGGGCGCAAGCCUGAUGCAGCCAUGCCGCGUGUAUGAAGAAGGCCUUCGGGUUGUAAAGUACUUUCAGCGGGGAGGAAGGUGUUGUGGUUAAUAACCCACAAUUGACGUUACCCGCAGAAGAAGCACCGGCUAACUCCGUGCCAGCAGCCGCGGUAAUACGGAGGGUGCAAGCGUUAAUCGGAAUUACUUGGGCGUAAAGCGCACGCGAGGCGGUCUGUCAAGUCGGAUUGUGAAAUCCCCGGGCCUCAACCUGGGAACUGCAUUCGAAACUGGCAGGCUUGAGUUUUGUAAAGGGGGGUAGAAUUUCCGGGGUGUCCCCGUAAAUGGCGAAAAGAAUCUU
RNAcentral lists this ribosomal RNA (684 nucleotides) under Salmonella enterica subsp. enterica serovar Zanzibar. RNAcentral's name for it is "bacterial SSU rRNA". It matches the Rfam family "Bacterial small subunit ribosomal RNA", at positions 32 to 710 of the family's 1533-position model. The record is from RNAcentral. Lineage: Bacteria; Pseudomonadati; Pseudomonadota; Gammaproteobacteria; Enterobacterales; Enterobacteriaceae.